RNAcentral lists this ribosomal RNA (253 nucleotides) under uncultured bacterium. RNAcentral describes it as "partial 16S ribosomal RNA". It matches the Rfam family "Bacterial small subunit ribosomal RNA", at positions 524 to 776 of the family's 1533-position model. The record is from RNAcentral.
UACGGAGGGUGCAAGCGUUGCUCGGAAUUACUGGGCGUAAAGGGGAGGUAGGUGGUCUUGUUUGUCUAGGGUGAAAUCCCGGUGUUUAACUCCGGAAGUGCCUUAGAAACGGCAAGACUAGAGUUCUGGAGAGGAUCGUGGAAUUCCCGGUGUAGCGGUGAAAUGCGUAGAGAUCGGUAGUAACACCAGAGGCGAAUGCUGCGAUCUUGACAUACACUGACCCUUAACUACUAAAGCGUGGGGAGCAAACAGG